GACGAACGCUGGCGGCGUGCCUAAUACAUGCAAGUAGAACGCUGAAGGAGGAGCUUGCUUCUCUGGAUGAGUUGCGAACGGGUGAGUAACGCGUAGGUAACCUGCCUGGUAGCGGGGGAUAACUAUUGGAAACGAUAGCUAAUACCGCAUAAUAGUAGAUGUUGCAUGACAUUUGCUUAAAAGGUGCAAUUGCAUCACUACCAGAUGGACCUGCGUUGUAUUAGCUAGUUGGUGGGGUAACGGCUCACCAAGGCGACGAUACAUAGCCGACCUGAGAGGGUGAACGGCCACACUGGGACUGAGACACGGCCCAGACUCCUACGGGAGGCAGCAGUAGGGAAUCUUCGGCAAUGGACGGAAGUCUGACCGAGCAACGCCGCGUGAGUGAAGAAGGGUUUCGGAUCGUAAAGCUCUGUUGUAAGAGAAGAACGAGUGUGAGAGUGGAAAGUUCACACUGUGACGGUAUCUUACCAGAAAGGGACGGCUAACUACGUG
RNAcentral lists this ribosomal RNA (495 nucleotides) under uncultured bacterium. RNAcentral describes it as "partial 16S ribosomal RNA". It matches the Rfam family "Bacterial small subunit ribosomal RNA", at positions 28 to 507 of the family's 1533-position model. The record is from RNAcentral.